AUUGUCAUCUUAAAGCACCCAUGCCUUUUCCAUUCUCCUUCGUUUUCAACAGCAGACGCACAACACCAGCAAUAUUUACCCAGAAAAGAACUAACCCAAUUCCCAAAUCUUCCGCUUAAAUUUCCUCUUUUCUACCUCAAAUUCGUACAGCAAGAGCAUGCUUGGCACGAGACCAAACACACGCGGAGAUUCCGGAGGUAACCAUGGUAUGGUCAUGUAAAAUUUCUUUGUUUCUUUUGAAUUUCAUUUCAUAUUUGUACGAUUCGAGCUCACUGGAGUCUGAGCCUCUAAGAAAAAUUUUCAAAAUAUUGGCUUCUCUCACAUAGAAAGUAUUCUCAGAAUUUGGAGGUUUUGGGUGCUAUAAAAGCCCCUCUCCUCACUGUUCAAGCGAGGUUUUUGGACUCGAGAGUAGUACCGCUAUAAUGUUUAGGACUUCUCAGUUCAAUAAUUUAAAGUUUUGUGGUUGUUCGAGUUGAAGAGGUGGAAUCGUUUCUAUUCAAAU
Molecule: unclassified non-coding RNA, 502 nt
Filed under: Hevea brasiliensis (rubber tree)
Lineage: Eukaryota; Viridiplantae; Streptophyta; Magnoliopsida; Malpighiales; Euphorbiaceae
Source: RNAcentral